AACUCAUGACCUGGCAUGGGAUAGGGGAGAGGCUAAUUCAUUCCCUAGUCCACACCUUAUCCUCACUUUUGGUACAAAGCACUGGCUGCAGUGAGUUUUCAGGACCCGUCUUAACUGUUCUACAGCUUGGCAGAGUGACUGAACGGAAGAACCCAGUUGGAUGAAAUCACUGCAUAUGGUCAUCUGAAGUAUAGUUUGUCUGAUGCUGGAAGAAUUCUUAGUUGACCCUGAAGUGGCCUCUUUGUCUGCCUGCUGUGCCCCUCAAAGAUGAGAAGCUUCUCUCUGACAGCUGGGAGAGCUGGACCCUGCAUUCUGGAAAGUAUUUAGGCAGUUCUCUGAGGUAACUAUGGCCACAUCGUGACAGGAGUCAAUCUCACUUCUGCUUCUGAUGAGCUGUGUGACCUUGGCCCUUCCCCUAGUACCAAGUAAUGAAUGAAGCAGAGCCUUCGAAGCCAGAAGGUCUAGACUGAAAGCACAGCUCGCCACCUGCUCACCAAUGAACCUGGGAAAGUUGCUUACCCUUUGGAAUCCUCAGCUUACUUCUCUGAAAGGCUUGCUUCUUGUUCCCAUCUACAUGGAUCCCAGCUUAAAUCUUGAUUCCUUCUGUUCCAUCCCAUUUUACACACUGUGGCCCCUCCAGCUUUGUAUAAUCACAUAGAGCAUCCUCACGUGCUGAGUCUGGACCACCUCAGAAUCAAGACAAGCCUUGACCCCACCACCUACACAAUGGCUCUAAAUCAGUGCGCUAAUGUACAAAAAACUAUCAUGAGGUACAAUCAAGAUGAUUAAUGCGAAAGGAAAGAGAGUCAUGUAAAUGCUAAAGUGACAAAUUAAUGC
Pan troglodytes (chimpanzee) is the source of this 837-nucleotide long non-coding RNA. RefSeq lists it as uncharacterized. Lineage: Eukaryota; Metazoa; Chordata; Mammalia; Primates; Hominidae. The record is from RefSeq and is a predicted model, not a curated record. The transcript is spliced from 3 exons.